RNAcentral lists this unclassified non-coding RNA (2578 nucleotides) under Hevea brasiliensis (rubber tree). Lineage: Eukaryota; Viridiplantae; Streptophyta; Magnoliopsida; Malpighiales; Euphorbiaceae. The record is from RNAcentral.
UAAAAGGUGUUCCAUCAAAACAAAUAGUUUAGGUAUUCCCUGCCUGGGAAACUGGCGCGACAAGAUACAGGUGACCAGACACUAAUCUGGAUCACAAGCAUCACAAAUCCAAAAUAACAUACAUGACAAGAUUUUGUUGUCACUAGUUGACAGUGCGACAAACCAGAUAAAAGUGAGAUAACCAUGUGUGUACAUAUUCUCAAACUUAUUUUCCAUCAAACAUCCAUAGUUACUCCCCGGAUAACUAAUCCAUAGGUAUGAUCUUCUGCAAAAUCCAUUGCAGAACUUUCAAGCGGAUACGUUAACUGCCAAGAUAUCUACUUUAGACAUUUAAUAGUUGGACACUGCUCAUCAUGACAUGUAGAAGAACUUCAUAAGAGUGAUCUACUAUCAGAUAGAUAGACUAGCUUCUCAUUCAUUGACUGCAACCAGCAAUCCACCAAAAUCUGACAUACCAACCAUGCAAGCCAUCCAACCAUGCAAGGUUCUUACUUCCAAAGCUUCCAAUUGCUGCACCUACUGACCUCAGUCUAACUCGUCCAGUCUGGAGAGCUAGGCACAAACUGCUCGACAGCAAGUGCCUGCAACACUCCAAGACCAUCCAUGCUGCAAGAAAAACUUAAUAACCUUGGCCAUACUGCAAAUAUGAUGGUUGAACAUCCUAGCAACAGGCCGCUGGACAUCGUCACAGUAACUGUUAACAACCAUCUAUUCUCUCGUAUCCAUAUCACACGAAGAAACGGCAUUCCCACAGAGACUGUCCUUGAUGCUGCUGAGGCAGUGCAACAGAUUGUUGAUUCACACUCUUGAGUUGCUGAGGUUGCUCAUGGUACAGUUUUAAUUGUUCAGAUAUCUGGUAGUCCUCCCGACCUUUCUGAUUCCCUGAUUGUACACGCAGGGGGUUUACCUGUUUCCCAGGGAAAGGAAAACUUGCCAUCCCAACUGAGCUACUGCUCUUGCUCACGGAGACGUAGUUUUGUGUUGAAUGAUUAAUGGAGUUAUUGAAACCAGUGCUCUGAUUUGAUGAAGACAGCUGAUAUCCAUCCAGCCAGCCAUAGUCAUCCAUAGGAGGAAGAGAAUGUUCAUUCUUUAUAGUUAUGGCUGAUGAAGAUUCAUCCACGACUUUGGAAGGAACAUAACCAAAGCCUGGAGGUGGACCCAGAUGCCUAAGAGGUCUGCUGACUGGAUUUUUCUUUAUACCUGUUGACGUGACUGACGGAGACUUUACUGACAUGCUGUCCAUACCAGCUACUGAGGAUGAAAGUGAACUGAAGUUAGAUGGUAUAGCAGCAUCUGGAACCUGCGCAGGAAUGCUAUUUGCUAUGCUAAAAUUGACAGACUGUGGAAAAGGGAUCGAAUAUGUUGCAGGUGGAAAUACUCCUGAACGAUCUUGCAACUCAGAUUUUAUAGUUCGAUCAUUUCCUAUCAAGUUCAAGCUAGCCAAUCCAUUCAUAACAGCAUCCUGUUGAACGGACCACAAUGAAGUAUUUGGUUGAAUAGGCUGCAUAUAUUGGCCACUGUUAUUAGCAAUAGUUGAGGGAGGCCUUACACUUGCAUGUAAAGCACUCGGCGUGAUCAAUCCAUCAAGUGCAGCUGAAAACGGGCCCAUCUCAUUUCCUAGACCAUCAGAGGUUAUGCUAAUGCGAGGAGGAACAUUGGCAGCACCAACAUAUGAAACAGGAACUUCCGUGGCCAUCAUGUUUGAAGUGCUUCCAUUCACAUGCUUUUCUGCUGCGGAUGGCUUAAAGACAAUUACCUCAUCUUCUUCCUCACACUCCACAUACAAUUGUUGCUUAGGCUGCAGAGCUCCUACAGUUAACUGCCCUGCAGCUGGAUUCACCAGCCCAAUACCACUUAAUUUGGGAACUUCCAUUGUGCAACCAUGUACAUAAUCACCAGACACUUGGGGCUCAAUGCCAAUGAUGAAUUUCUUUGCCGUACUGUUAAAAUAUAUUCCCUCUUCUCCAACACGGACCACACUAGCAAGGGCCUUUCCUGCAGCUAUUAUCCUCUGGAGACGUGAUUUCUUCUCUUUGAUGCCACCAUCACCACCAAAAGAAUGCUUCCUUGAAAAAUCAAGGAUAAGUUGUGCCGGAAGAAGAGGUAGAAACCCUCUCAGUUCGAAAUCCUCAGGCAAUGCAAGACGAUUGCCGCUUUCUUCUUCAUCAUACCUGCUCAUAUUGAAAAAGCAUGUUUCAUCCUUGUCGUCAUCAACAAACUUGAACCCACUGGACAUUAGCUUAUUAAAGAAAGCAAUACAGUUCUUCCAGAAAAAUGAUCUAGCUGUCGUUUGUUUCUCUUCUGGUUCAUUGCCAAGCGCAACAUCUUGAUGGCAUGCCAACCACUCAACAAACACCAAAACACCAGGCAAAAGGAAGCUUGUGGUGGGAUCACUUAGUUGGACACAUCUCUCAACAACAUGACCCAUGAACUCAAAAACAGCAGUAAACGAAUUCUGUAGAAGAACAGAUCUCUGUAAAAUCUCAGCAUAAGACUUAUUUUCACUUUCCCUGUUCACAUUAUGAACAGUGAAUAUCAGGAUACCCACAAUCCUCACAAUAGCCAGUCUACAGUCGGC